Molecule: ribosomal RNA, 376 nt
Filed under: uncultured organism
Description: partial 16S ribosomal RNA
Rfam family: Bacterial small subunit ribosomal RNA
Source: RNAcentral
GUAGGUGGCGAGCGUUAUCCGGAUUUACUGGGCGUAAAGAGGGCGCAGGCGGCUUUUUAAGUCGGAUGUAAAAUCUCCCAGCUUAACUGGGAGGACCAUUCGAUACUGUUAAGCGUAGAGAGCAACAGGGGAGGUAGAAUUCCCGGUGUAGUGGUGAAAUGCGUAGAUAUCGGGAGGAAUACCAGUGGCGAAGGCGGCCUCCUGGGUUGUUACUGACGCUUAAGCCCGAAGGCGUGGGGAGCAAACAGGAUUAGAUACCCUGGGUAGUCCACGCCGUAAACUAUGAACACUAGGUAUGGGGAGUAACUCGACCCCUCUCCCGUGCCGAAGUUAACCGCGUUAAGUGUUCCGUCUGGGAACUACGGCCGCAAGGCUA